Molecule: ribosomal RNA, 1953 nt
Filed under: human gut metagenome
Description: bacterial LSU rRNA
Rfam family: Bacterial large subunit ribosomal RNA
Source: RNAcentral
GAAAGUAAAGAAGGGCGUAUGGCGGAUGCCUAGGCUCUCGGAGGCGAAGAAGGACGUGAUAAGCUGCGAUAAGCUGCGGCGAGGAGCAAAUAUCCUGUGACCCGCAGAUUUCCGAAUGGGGCAACCCGGCAGGACCACCUGUCAUCCCGGGAAACGGGAAGCAAACGUGGGGAACUGAAACAUCUCAUUACCCACAGGAAAAGAAAAUAAUAAUGAUUCCGUCAGUAGUGGCGAGCGAAAGCGGAAGAGCCCAAACCGUCUCUGUUUCGGCAGAGUCGGGGUAGAAGGACUGCAUAAGACAAAGAAGCAGGUAGCCGAACGGUCUGGAAAGGCCGGUCAAAGACGGUGAUAACCCGGUAGGCGAAACCAGCGACAGCGACAGCAGUAUCCUGAGUAGUGCGGGACACGAGAAAUCCUGUAUGAAUCAGCGGGGACCAUCCCGUAAGGCUAAAUACUCCCGAGAGACCGAUAGCGAACCAGUACUGUGAAGGAAAGGUGAAAAGAACCUCGAACAGAGGAGUGAAAAAGACCCUGAAACCAUACGCCUACAAGCGGUCGGAGCCCCUACGUGGGGUGACGGCGUGCCUUUUGCAUAAUGAACCUACGAGUUACUUUUGCCAGCCAGGUUAAUCGAUUCAGUCGAGGAGCCGAAGCGAAAGCGAGUCUUAAUAGGGCGUUAUAAGUUGGCAGGAGUAGACGCGAAACCAAGUGAUCUACCCAUGAGCAGGUUGAAGGUUAGGUAACACUAACUGGAGGACCGCACCGGUAAACGUUGAAAAGUUUUCGGAUGACUUGUGGGUAGGGGUGAAAGGCUAAUCAAACUUGGAGAUAGCUCGUACUCCCCGAAAUGCAUUUAGGUGCAGCCUUCUGACUAUAUUUAAGAGGUAGAGCGACUGAUAAGAUGCGAGGGCUUCACCGCCUAUCAAGUCUUGAUAAACUCCGAAUGCUUAAAUAUGAAUCAGAGGAGUGAGGGCAUGGGUGCUAAGGUCCAUGUCCGAGAGGGAAAUAACCCAGACCACCGGCUAAGGUCCCGAAAUAACGGCUAAGUUGAAUUAACGAAGUAGAAUUGCAAAGACAGCUAGGAUGUUGGCUUGGAAGCAGCCAUUCAUUUAAAGAGUGCGUAACAGCUCACUAGUCGAGGAGUUUUGCAUGGAUAAUAAUCGGGCAUAAGCCCUUUACCGAAGCUGUGGAUGUCGCAAGACAUGGUAGGGGAGCAUUCCGGCGGCGACGAAGGCCGUCCUCGAGGACGACUGGAGCUUUCGGAAAAGCAAAUGUAGGUAUAAGUAACGAUAAAGGGGGCGCGAAACCCCCUCGCCAUAAGACUAAGGAUUCCUGAUCAACGCUAAUCGGAUCAGGGUAAGUCGGGCCCUAAGGCGCAGCCGAACGGCGCAGCCGAUGGAAGAAACGGUAAAGAUUCCGUUACUGGAUAUAGGAGCGAUGUGGAGACGGAGAAGUGACACACCCGCCUGCCGACGGAAGCGCAGGUUAAAGGAAGUAGGUAGACGCCGGGUAGGCAAAUCCGCCCAGCGUGCCGAAGCUGACAGUAUCGAGAGCCCCCGGGCAAUCGAAUAGCGGUGGUAAUCAGGCUCCCAAGAAAAUCCGCUAAGCAAAUUCUAUAUUCACCCGUACCCCAAACGGACACACGUAGUCGGGUAGAAUAUACCAAGGCGCUCGAAAGACUCACGGUUAAGGAACUAGGCAAAUUGACCCUGUAACCUCGGGAAAAAGGGUCCCCAGUAAGAUGGGGCGCAGAGAAUAGGUCCAGGCAACUGUUUAACAAAAACACAGGGCUGUGCAAAAUUUAGAGAUGAAGUAUACAGCCUGACACCUGCCCGGUGCCGGAAGGUUAAGAGGAGAGCUAAUCGCAAGAGAAGGCUUGAAUUGAAGCCCCGGUAAACGGCGGCCGUAACUAUAACGGUCCUAAGGUAGCGAAAUUCCUUGUCGGGUAAGUUC